This 1425-nucleotide ribosomal RNA is filed under the name Chiropterotriton terrestris (terrestrial splayfoot salamander). RNAcentral's name for it is "partial large subunit ribosomal RNA". It matches the Rfam family "Bacterial large subunit ribosomal RNA", at positions 339 to 2591 of the family's 2925-position model. Lineage: Eukaryota; Metazoa; Chordata; Amphibia; Caudata; Plethodontidae. The record is from RNAcentral.
AGAAGAGGAAAGUCGUAACAUGGUAAGCCUACCGGAAGGUGGUCUUGGAAUCAGAAUAUAGCUUAACCAAAGCAUUUUGCUUACACCAAAAAAAUAUCCUUUAGAUUAUUCUGAUACUGUAAAUUUAGCCUCCAUGUCUUUCUAUUACCCCACCCAAUAAAUCAUUUUUAUAUGUUAGUAUGAGUGACAGAAAACUUAUUAGCGCAAUAAAUAAAGUACUGCAAAGGAAAAAUGAAAUAGAAAUUAAAUAAUCACAAAAGUUUAAUAAAGCAAAGAUUAAUACUUGUACCUUUUGCAUAAUAAUCUAGCAAGUUUAAUUUAACAAAAAUAUUUAUGUUAAAAUCCCCGAAACCAAACGAGCUACCUUUGAGCAACACACUAUAAAUUUCUCUCUGUGGCAAAAGAGAGUGAGAGACUCCCAGGUAGAGGCGAAAAACCAAACGAGUCUGGAGAUAGCUGGUUGCUUGGGAAUGAAUUAAGUUCAACUAAAAGUGAAUAUACCAACAAGGACACAUAUAUACUUUUAAUAUAAUAAAUUAGGGUACAGCCUAUUUUAUAAAGGAAACAGCCUACACACAUGAAUAAAGAUUAUAAUUUAUCCUAUAAUAAAGUAGGCCUAAAAGCAGCCACCAAAAAAGCGUCACAGCUUAAUUAUAUACUUAAAACAUUUAAAUACAUUAUCUAAACUCAACUUAAUAACCAAGUUAAUCUAUUUAUAGAUAAACUACUACUAGAAUGAGUAAUAAGGAAUACCUCAAAAUACACAUGUAAAUCUAAACUAACCCCACUGAUAAUUAACGUAAACAUUCAUUUUUACAAGAAAACCAAAUUAUUUAUUUCGUUAACCCAACACAGGUGUAUAAAAGAAAGACUCAAGGCUUAAGAAGGAACUCGGCAAACUCAGGCUUCGCCUGUUUACCAAAAACAUCGCCUUUCGAUAAAUUAACAUGAAAGGUCCUGCCUGCCCAGUGACAUACUUAAACGGCCGCGGUAUUAUGACCGUGCAAAGGUAGCAUAAUCACUUGUCUUUUAAAUAAAGACCAGUAUGAAUGGCAAGACGAAACCCAACUGUCUCCUUAAGCUAGUCAAUGAAAUUGAUUUUCCCGUGCAGAAGCGGGAAUAUAUAUAUAAGACGAGAAGACCCUGUGGAGCUUAAAAUAAAACUAUAUAGAUAUUCUAUAAUAGUAUUAAAUUUUGGUUGGGGCGACCAUGAGGUAAAACACAACCCUCAAGACAACAACUAGAAGGACACUUCAAAUAAAACUAUACAUUGACCCAAUAAUGAUCAACGAACCAAGUUACCCCAGGGAUAACAGCGCAAUCCAUUCCCAGAGUCCAUAUCGACGAAUGGGUUUACGACCUCGAUGUUGGAUCAGGACCCCCUAAUGGUGCAACAACUAUUAAAGGUUCGUUGUCAACGAUAAA